This 585-nucleotide ribosomal RNA is filed under the name Triticum aestivum (bread wheat). RNAcentral describes it as "partial small subunit ribosomal RNA". Lineage: Eukaryota; Viridiplantae; Streptophyta; Magnoliopsida; Poales; Poaceae. The record is from RNAcentral.
AUGGUUCAACUUUGUGCCACUAUGCAAGGGGAGCCAAGCUUGACAGAAGUGCCGGUGCCUGCAGAGAUUGAGGCACUGAUCAGCGAGUUUGAGCACCUGUUCGCAGAGCCGAAGGGGCUACCACCGCGGCGUUCGUUCGAUCAUUCCAUUCCUCUGCUUCCGGGAGCAAAGCCGGUCAAUGUGCGCCCAUAUCGCUACAGUCCAGCUCAAAAGGACGAGAUUGAGAAGCAGGUAGCGGACAUGCUUGCUCAGGGGAUUAUUGCACCCAGCUCUAGUCCGUUUGCGUCGCCAGUACUGCUAGUCCAGAAGAAGGAUUUGUCCUGGCGUUUCUGUGUAGACUAUCGCCAGCUCAAUGCCAUAACAGUCAAGAACCGUUUUCCAUUGCCGAUCAUCGACGAGCUUCUGGAUGAACUCGCGGGGUCUAGGUGGUUUACUAGCUUAGAUCUCCGAGCCGGAUACCAUCAAAUACGUAUGAAACCCGAGGACAAGUACAAGACUGCUUUCAAGACCCACCAUGGGCAUUUUGAGUUCAAGGUGCUAGCGUAUGGCCUAACAGGUGGACCUGCUACCUUCCAGGGGGGAAUG